AUACGGAGGAUGCAAGCGUUAUCCGGAUUUAUUGGGUUUAAAGGGUGCGUAGGCGGUUUGCUAAGCGGGAGGUGAAAUGCCGGCGCUCAACGUCGGAAGUGCCUCCCGAACUGGUGGACUUGAAUGACUCUGCCGUGGGAGGAAUGUGUAGUGUAGCGGUGAAAUGCUUAGAGAUUACACAGAACACCGAUUGCGAAGGCAUCUCACGAAGGGUUGAUUGACGCUGAGGCACGAAAGCGUAGGGAUCAAACAGGAUUAGAUACCCUGGUAGUCCACGCAGUAAACGAUGAUGGCUAACCGCUGGGCUUAUCAGUUCAGUGGCCAAGCGAAAGCGAUAAGCCAUCCACCUGGGGAGUACGACCGCAAGGUUGAAACUCAAAGGAAUUGACGGGG
This 393-nucleotide ribosomal RNA is filed under the name uncultured bacterium. RNAcentral's name for it is "partial 16S ribosomal RNA". It matches the Rfam family "Bacterial small subunit ribosomal RNA", at positions 523 to 918 of the family's 1533-position model. The record is from RNAcentral.